UCUAGAGUAGACUGUUCUCAACCAUCUAGAGUAGACUGUUCUCAACCAUCUAGAGUAGACUGUUUUCAACCAUCUAGAGUAGACUGUUCUCAACCAUCGCGACUCAGACACUUCCUAGUACAUCGUUUAUGUUACACCAGCACCUAGAAAAUAGACGUUAGCUCUGUGUCCAUCUCCUCCAUAUGGGCGUUUUAACCCAACAGACAAUGAGAGAGAGAGGAAAGUAAACCCAAGAGCAAAGCACAGAAUGAAGAAACAGAGGCAGUAUGUGUACUGUAGUCAGCACCAAGGCUACGUCGCUAGCUAGCUAGCUGUAAUCCCAGGGGCUGUUUGCUUGUUGGUGAUGGUUUGUGUUAGCGAUGAGGCAGGGGUGUACAGAGAUGUAAUGGGUUGAGGGAGAUAGCCAUGUCUCCAAAAACCUAAGGUGAGUUUUCUGAAAGCUUUAUGGCUAACGUGGUGCUUCAUUUCUCUCAACAACCCAGACUCAAGCCACAUGUAGAACAUCAAACAUUGAUUUUUCAAUUGGUGCUCUCGUGGUUGAGUUGUCAAGAUAUACAAAGUGCCACGUUAGCUAUAAAGCUUCUGGGACACUCUGAGUUCUGAGGUGUGUGGCAGGAAGUGAGAAAGGCUAAGGACAGGUGGUGUCUAGAUGACUUAAGAAGGAGUUUCAAAAGCGGUGUGUAUCAGUGUUACGGUGUGACGUGACUGAAGAGGUUUUUAGUUGAUCAGACAGACAUUUGUCCAUGGUAAGACAGACAUACAGACAGUUGGUUUGGGUCGAGACGGGGCUGGUGUGAGAAUGAAAACCACUGACUAAAGGGUUACUGACUCAGUCUUUGGUCGGAUGACAGACCUCACCUCCUUGACGUAGACUCAAACCAACAUGUCUGGACAUCAUCAAACCAACCAACAUUCGCACACUCUCUCUAGGAAAAGUCCAUGAACUAAUAUUUGUUUUCUUUAUCCAUGUGUGUAGAGCUGUGUUUAACAAACUCCAGAGAAGAGGAGUGACACAAAGAAAAAUAAAGAUGAGUUUACUACUCUGUGA
Molecule: long non-coding RNA, 1048 nt
Organism: Salvelinus sp. IW2-2015
Lineage: Eukaryota; Metazoa; Chordata; Actinopteri; Salmoniformes; Salmonidae
Source: RefSeq, a predicted model, not a curated record